Molecule: ribosomal RNA, 253 nt
Filed under: uncultured bacterium
Lineage: Bacteria
Description: partial 16S ribosomal RNA
Rfam family: Bacterial small subunit ribosomal RNA
Source: RNAcentral
UACGAAGGGUGCAAGCGUUAAUCGGAAUUACUGGGCGUAAAGCGCGCGUAGGUGGUUCAGUAAGUUGGAUGUGAAAUCCCCGGGCUCAACCUGGGAUCUGCAUCCAAAACUGCUGAGCUAGAGUACGGUAGAGGGUGGUGGAAUUUCCUGUGUAGCGGUGAAAUGCGUAGAUAUAGGAAGGAACACCAGUGGCGAAGGCGACCACCUGGACUGAUACUGACACUGAGGUGCGAAAGCGUGGGGAGCAAACAGG